RNAcentral lists this ribosomal RNA (510 nucleotides) under uncultured bacterium. RNAcentral describes it as "partial 16S ribosomal RNA". It matches the Rfam family "Bacterial small subunit ribosomal RNA", at positions 28 to 507 of the family's 1533-position model. The record is from RNAcentral.
GACGAACGCUGGCGGCGUGCUUAACACAUGCAAGUCGAACGAAGAGCGAUGGAAGCUUGCUUCUAUCAAUCUUAGUGGCGAACGGGUGAGUAACGCGUAAUCAACCUGCCCUUCAGAGGGGGACAACAGUUGGAAACGACUGCUAAUACCGCAUACGAUCUAAUCUCGGCAUCGAGGAUAGAUGAAAGGUGGCCUCUACAUGUAAGCUAUCACUGAAGGAGGGGCUUGCGUCUGAUUAGCUAGUUGGAGGGGUAACGGCCCACCAAGGCGAUGAUCAGUAGCCGGUCUGAGAGGAUGAACGGCCACAAUGGGACUGAGACACGGCCCAGACUCCUACGGGAGGCAGCAGUGGGGAAUCUUCCGCAAUGGACGAAAGUCUGACGGAGCAACGCCGCGUGAGUGAUGACGGCCUUCGGGUUGUAAAGCUCUGUUAAUCGGGACGAAAGGCCUUCUUGCGAAUAGUGAGAAGGAUUGACGGUACCGGAAUAGAAAGCCACGGCUAACUACGUG